GUCUAUGGCCAUGCCACCCUGAACAUGCUCGAUCCCAUCUGAUCUCAGAAGCUAAGCAGGGUCGGGCCAGGUUAGUACUUGGAUGGGAGACCACCUAGGAAGACCUACAGGUGCUCUAGGCG
This 122-nucleotide ribosomal RNA is filed under the name Pteropus alecto (black flying fox). The record is from RNAcentral. Lineage: Eukaryota; Metazoa; Chordata; Mammalia; Chiroptera; Pteropodidae.